AACGUUUUGCCGUUCCAUUGUACA
This 24-nucleotide non-coding RNA is filed under the name Arabidopsis thaliana (thale cress). The record is from RNAcentral. Lineage: Eukaryota; Viridiplantae; Streptophyta; Magnoliopsida; Brassicales; Brassicaceae.